Molecule: unclassified non-coding RNA, 329 nt
Filed under: soil metagenome
Description: partial contains 5.8S ribosomal RNA, internal transcribed spacer 2, and large subunit ribosomal RNA
Rfam family: 5.8S ribosomal RNA (bases 1-120)
Source: RNAcentral
GAUGAAGAACGCAGCGAAAUGCGAUAAGUAGUGUGAAUUGCAGAAUUCAGUGAAUCAUCGAAUCUUUGAACGCACAUUGCGCCCCUUGGUAUCCCGAGGGGCAUGCCUGUUCGAGCGUCAUUUCACCACUCAAGCCUGGCUUGGUGUUGGGCGACGUCCCCUUUAGGGACGCGCCUUGAAACGCUCGGCGGCGUGGCACCGGCUUUAAGCGUAGCAGAAUCUUUCGCUUUGGAAGUCGGGGCCCCGCCUGCCGGAAUACCUACUCGUAAGGUUGACCUCGGAUCAGGCAGGGAUACCCGCUGAACUUAAGCAUAUCAAUAAGCGGAGGA